This 430-nucleotide ribosomal RNA is filed under the name uncultured prokaryote. RNAcentral describes it as "bacterial SSU rRNA". It matches the Rfam family "Bacterial small subunit ribosomal RNA", at positions 355 to 776 of the family's 1533-position model. RNAcentral also lists the same sequence under 1 other name. The record is from RNAcentral.
UGGGGAAUCUUCCGCAAUGGGCGAAAGCCUGACGGAGCAAUGCCGCGUGAAUGAAGAAGGCCUUCGGGUUGUAAAGUUCUGUUGAGAAGGAAGAAAGAUCUAAGAGUUAAUAACUCUUAAGUUUGACGGUACUUUUCGAGGAAGCCCCGGCUAACUACGUGCCAGCAGCCGCGGUAAUACGUAGGGGGCAAGCGUUGUCCGGAAUCACUGGGCGUAAAGCGCAUGUAGGCGGGAUAUUAAGUCAGGUGUGAAAACUACAGGCUCAACCUGUAGAUUGCAUUUGAAACUGGUAUUCUUGAGUAUUGGAGAGGAAAGUGGAAUUCCUAGUGUAGCGGUGAAAUGCGUAGAUAUUAGGAGGAACACCAGUGGCGAAGGCGACUUUCUGGCCAAAAACUGACGCUGAGAUGCGAAAGCGUGGGGAGCAAACAGG